GACGAACGCUGGCGGCGUGCCUAAUACAUGCAAGUCGAGCGAAGUUUUUCUGGUGCUUGCACUAGAAAAACUUAGCGGCGAACAGGUGAGUAACACGUAAAGAACCUGCCUCAUAGACUGGGACAACUAUUGGAAACGAUAGCUAGUACCGGAUAACAGUAUUUCUCGCAUGAGAGAUAUUUAAAAGUUGGUUAUGCUAACACUAUGAGAUGGCUUUGCGGUGCAUUAGCUAGUUGGUGGGGUAAAGGCCCACCAAGGCGACGAUGCAUAGCCGACCUGAGAGGGUGAUCGGCCACACUGGGACUGAGACACGGCCCAGACUCCUACGGGAGGCAGCAGUAGGGAAUCUUCCGCAAUGGGCGAAAGCCUGACGGAGCAACGCCGCGUGAGUGAAGAAGGAUUUCGGUUCGUAAAGCUCUGUUGUUAGGGAAGAAUGGAUAUGUAGUAACUAUACAUGUAAGAGACGGUACCUAACCAGAAAGCCACGGCUAACUACGUG
This 499-nucleotide ribosomal RNA is filed under the name uncultured bacterium. Its description in RNAcentral is "partial 16S ribosomal RNA". It matches the Rfam family "Bacterial small subunit ribosomal RNA", at positions 28 to 507 of the family's 1533-position model. The record is from RNAcentral.